Molecule: ribosomal RNA, 776 nt
Filed under: uncultured Staphylococcus sp.
Lineage: Bacteria; Bacillati; Bacillota; Bacilli; Caryophanales; Staphylococcaceae
Description: bacterial SSU rRNA
Rfam family: Bacterial small subunit ribosomal RNA
Source: RNAcentral
UCAACCGUGGAGGGUCAUGGAAACUGGAAAACUUGAGUGCAGAAGAGGAAAGUGGAUUCCAUGUGUAGCGGUGAAAUGCGCAGAGAUAUGGAGGAACACCAGUGGCGAAGGCGACUUCUGGUCUGUAACUGACGCUGAUGUGCGAAAGCGUGGGGAUCAAACAGGAUUAGAUACCCGGUAGUCCACGCCGUAAACGAUGAGUGCUAAGUGUUAGGGGGUUUCCGCCCCUUAGUGCUCAGCUAACGCAUUAAGCACUCCGCCUGGGGAGUACGACCGCAAGGUUGAAACUCAAAGGAUUGACGGGGACCCGCACAAGCGGUGGAGCAUGUGGUUUAAUUCGAAGCAACGCGAAGAACUUACCAAAUCUUGACAUCCUUUGACCGCUCUAGAGAUAGAGUUUUCCCCUUCGGGGGACAAGUGACAGGUGGUGCAUGGUUGUCGUCAGCUCGUGUCGUGAGAUGUUGGGUUAAGUCCCGAACGAGCGCAACCCUUAAACUUAGUUGCCAGCAUUCAGUUGGGCACUCUAAGUUGACUGCGGUGACAAACCGGAGGAAGGUGGGGAUGACGUCAAAUCAUCAUGCCCCUUAUGAUUUGGGUACACACGUGCUACAAUGGACAAUACAAAGGGCAGCGAAACCGCGAGGUCAAGCAAAUCCAUAAAGUUGUUCUCAGUUCGGAUUGUAGUCUGCAACUCGACUACAUGAAGCUGGAAUCGCAGUAAUCGUAGAUCAGCAUGCUACGGUGAAUACGUUCCCGGGUCUUGUACACACCGCCCG